UUCCGGUUGAUCCUGCCGGACCCGACUGCUAUUUGGGUGAGAAUAAGCCAUGCGAGUUGAAUGGGAUACCUAAAGUUCCCAUAGCAAACUGCUCAGUAACACAUGAUCAACUUACCCUAUAGAGAAAAAUAACCUCGGGAAACUGAGGAUAAUGUUUCAUAAUUGAAUUGGCUUGGAAAAGUUUUUCAAUGAAAAGGAUAAAAAAAAUGGUUUUUAUCUGCUAUAGGAUAGGAUCGUGUUCGAUUAUGGUUGUUGGUGAGAUAAUGGCUCACCAAGCCGAUAAUCGAUAGGGGCCGUGAGAGCGGGAGCCCCGAGAUGGGUACUGAGACAACGACCCAGGCCUUACGAGGCGCAGCAGGCGCGGAACCUCCGCAAUACACGAAAGUGUGACGGGGUUACCCAAAGUGUUCAAUAGAACUGUGGUAGGUGAGUAAUGUCCCCUACUAGAAAGGAGAGGGCAAGGCUGGCGCCAGCCGCCGCGGUAAAACCAGCUCUUCAAGUGGUCGGGAUAAUUAUUGGGCUUAAAGUGUCCGUAGCCGGUUUAGCAAGUUCCUGGUAAAAUCGGGUAGCUUAACUAUCUGUAUGCUAGGAAUACUGCUAUACUAGAGGGCGGGAGAGGUCUGAGGUACUACAGGGGUAGGGGUGAAAUCUUAUAAUCCUUGUAGGACCACCAGUGGCGAAGGCGUCAGACUGGAACGCGCCUGACGGUGAGGGACGAAAGCCAGGGGAGCGAACCGGAUUAGAUACCCGGGUAGUCCUGGCCGUAAACGAUGCAUACUAGGUGAUGGUACGGCCAUGAGCCGUAUCAGUGCCGUAGGGAAACCGUUAAGUGUGCCGCCUGGGAAGUACGGUCGCAAGGCUAAAACUUAAAGGAAUUGGCGGGGGAGCACCACAAGGGGUGAAGCCUGCGGUUCAAUUGGACUCAACGCC
RNAcentral lists this ribosomal RNA (930 nucleotides) under uncultured archaeon. RNAcentral describes it as "bacterial SSU rRNA". It matches the Rfam family "Archaeal small subunit ribosomal RNA", at positions 1 to 919 of the family's 1478-position model. The record is from RNAcentral.